CCCUACGGGGGGCAGCAGUGGGGAAUAUUGCACAAUGGGCGAAAGCCUGAUGCAGCAACGCCGCGUGAGCGAUGAAGGCCUUCGGGUCGUAAAGCUCUGUCCUCAAGGAAGAUAAUGACGGUACUUGAGGAGGAAGCCCCGGCUAACUACGUGCCAGCAGCCGCGGUAAUACGUAGGGGGCUAGCGUUAUCCGGAAUUACUGGGCGUAAAGGGUGCGUAGGCGGACUGUUAAGUCAGCGGUAAAAUCCCGGGGCUCAACCCCGGCGAGCCGUUGA
This 275-nucleotide ribosomal RNA is filed under the name uncultured bacterium. RNAcentral's name for it is "partial 16S ribosomal RNA". It matches the Rfam family "Bacterial small subunit ribosomal RNA", at positions 337 to 630 of the family's 1533-position model. The record is from RNAcentral.